AGUAAUGUGGGCGAAACUGUGGCAAGUGCCGUAAUUGAGAUUAAAACAUUAUAACUUGACUUGUUUUACUUUUGCUAAAUCAUUUCAAGCAGCUAAACACGCCUAAUGAGAAAAGUUCAGGCCGUGGCCGCCAUUAUGAUUAUACACAUGUAUAUAAUAUUUAUAUAAAUGCAUGUGAGUGCGAGUGUGUGUGUGUGUGUCUGUGUGCUUGUGUGUGUGAAUGUAGGCGGACCACAUAAAGGGAUGAGCGGGCAUUCAUGCUCGCACUCAUACUCGCUCUCGGGACAGCACUUGAAUGGCAGCUGCCGCUGCUGCUUCUGCUGCUACUGCAGCUUCUCUGUGGCUGACAUGCGAUGCACUUGUGGGGCGUGGCAGCACCGGCCGACCGACCAAGUGCACUCCUGUCGUCCACUUGAGCGUUAUUGGAAUGUAAAUGUAUGCAUAUUAAGGUGUGGGACGGCUGCACGACGCGUUUGCAGCCCCCGCGACGCGUCAGCAAACUUCAAAAGUUAUUCACAUACGAGUCGAGCUCUCCUUCUCCACUUCCCUUCCCUUUUUUGUAUGUCACAUGUCAAUUGCUACAAAAAAAAAAAACAACGACAAGUCAAACAGCUCGGUUGCAGUAAUAAAAAUAAUAAUCAUCAUGUUAAAUGUAAUUAAAUUUUUAAUUUAGAGCUAGCGCCAGCCACGACAAUCUUCAAUUAAAACACACAAUUACCAGGGCCGCCCGCCGCGUUGAACCCCACCCAGGCGGGAUGUGAAUGAUGGAGAAGAGCAGUAAUGAGGGGAAGAUGAGCAGAGAAGCUGGGACAGUUACAGGAAUAGGAUAUGCCAAGUGCUCCAAAAGUUUUGCGGCUUAUUCAUUGUCCGCAGCCAUAUACAAAAAACAUAAUAAAAAAAAGAACUGUAAAAUGCUGAAGCGAGCAACCAACAAACGAAGGGUCUCAUCCUGCUGCUUCUACUGCUCCUUCAGUGUCCUUGUCGUCGGCCUGCCCAGAAAUUUGUGCCCCAAAAAGUUUUUGCACACUGUCAACACGGAAGGAAUUAUUCCGCAUUAAGUUUGUGGUAAUGGCGGCGGCAGUCACACACCAAGUGUCCUCUGCUAUAGUGUCCUGUCUGGCAACGUAGUUAUUCCUGUUGUUGUUGAGCAAUGUGCGCUUAAAAUUAAUGCACUCGCCGCUGCUGCUUGCAGGAAGAAGACGGACUCCAACUCCAACUCGAACUCGAACCCGGCAACAGAAGUGGCCAAAAAACUUUCGGACCUGCGAGUGCCAGUUUGUCCUGCUGCUGGUCCCGGGGGUGGGGGUAAAAAAGCAGAGGACCUUGUGGGCAAAGGGAAGGCCCACAGUUUUGACUGUUGUUAAUUAGAUGCACACUGUGCGCCACGGCGGCUUUGUCGUCAUCGUUGGCCUUGUAAGUCGCGAAAGUUUAAUUGAGCACUGGACGGACUGUGAUACAUUUCUGUGAGCGCUGUAGAUUAUACUAAAAUGUAAAUUAAUUGAAGCCUUUAAUGUGGCCAAGCAGCUUUACAACACUGAUUCAUGCAAAAAGGGUGAAACAAAUUCAAAUUUGUAUGUGCGUGUUUAACAUUUCAACUCACUUUUAUGGCGCAUAAUUAAAGAUACCACAUGCCUACAUAUGUAUGUACACAAAGUUGGUUUGCACUCAAGGAAAUCCAUUAGGUUAAUAAACUAUUAAUUUAAAUUUUGCGGAGAGCCAAAGAACAUCAUAUAUUAUGAUAGCGUUGGCAUUCAGAUAAUCUUGUUGCUUGCCCACAGUGCUCUUCAUUAAAUUAUGGCUGGCAAACUGUCUGUUAUAUUUAUUUGCCGACUGUCGAGUGCAAUUACCAUUAUGCAGAGAUGCAAAGACAGAGACAGAGAGCAGGAGAGCGAGAGAGAGAGAUGUUGCUCACAGUUGCAUGCCACAUACUUCAUGUUGCAUUUGUUCAUUUGUUGCUGCUGUUGUCUGGCGGCCUUGGCAAAUAUAUUUGACAAAUGGCAGCAAAUAAACAUAAUAAAUAAAAAAUACGAAAUGCAUUCGAGAGCAGCACAAAACACAUACACACACACAAAACAACAACAACACGAGUUCGUAACUAGCUGGGAGUCUGUCCAUCUGCCCAUCUGUCCAUAUCCCAGCACAAUACUUCUUUUCGGAAAAUGGAGAAUGCAGAAUGGCGAAUGGCAAUGCAUUCACAUGCGGCGUGUGCCGCCGUCGUCGCCAACAAUGAGCACAAUAAAAAGCCAUGCAUUUUCCAAACACCAAAAAUUGUUCACAGCGGCGGCAACAACAACAACAAAUGCCAAUGGGUAACAGCUCAGCCAAACAGCGACAGCCAGAGCAACAGCAACGACAGCAGCAACAACAACUGAAAGAAGAACAACCGCACCGGAAACAUCUCAUUCACUAAAUUUGUGGUCGGUUUUUGCCAAGCGCUCUCCGCGUUAGGCAGUCGAAGUUGUGAAAUGCCAGCGGGCAGCUAGGAAAGGGAAACGGGAACAGGGAACAGGGAACGGGGAACGGCAAUGGGAACAGGCAACAGGGAACGUGGAAUGGGGAAUGGUAACUGUGAAUGCUUGUGGGGUGGGGACGAGUGGAGAGGGAAUUGGAGCCGCCAACGCGAGCGUUGUUAGUUCCAGCAAAGCUCGAGGCAACGGAAAUUCGGAAUGACAUAAUACGUGCCCAUGUGCAUGUGUGCAUAAAUGUAUGUAUGUGUGUGUGUGUUUAUGUGUAUGUGUGUGUAUACAGAGUGUGUGGCUGGCUGGCUACCGCGACUUGAGUUGAUACAGCAAUAAUUCAUAAAGUGUUGCAUGCAAACGAGGCUGCAGCUGAGCCACACACACACAAACACACACUCUCACACAUGCAGCCACAAUUAUAUGCUUGUGCAUGUGUGUGUGUGCGUAACAUGCGACAGAGCGUUGGCAAAAUUAAAAUUGCUGCACAACAAACAGCGGAAACUCAGCGAGGAGCCGACAACAGCAACAGCAAACGCGAAGUGCAGCUGCAAAAGUGGCGGAGUAAGGAGGAAGAGGAAAUAAAGGGGAAUAGGAAGAGGGGGGAGAUCGGAGAGGCAAGAGCAAUGAAAUUCAUUGUAUUCUUACAACUCGACGCUGGCUGCUCAGCCGACGAAGCGGUUUUGCAGUAAAGUUAUUAUUUCAUAAAGCCAGAAUUAUUGAAACAAUACUUUACUCUCGCACUCACUUACACACGCCUGCAUAUGUGUGUGUGUGUGUGUGUCUGUGUAUGUGCGCUUGUCAUGCAAAAUUGCGCUUUAGUAGCAUAAUUUUUUAUGCCACAUUGUUGCAGCUGCGGCAACUAAAGCAAUAUAAAAUAUAAAUAGAAAUUAAAAGCCAGCAAAUAAAUGAAAACAGGAAAAAAGGCGAAACGACAAAAACUUUUUCAUGACAAAAGCAACUUGAGUCGAGUCGAGUUGAGUUGAGUUGAGUUGAGACGAGUUGGGCAUAUAUGUAUGUAUAUGUAGAGUAUAAAAUAUAGUUAGUUAUUGUUGUUGCCUACGGCCUGGCGGCAGUCGCUUCAUAUGUGUAACUAAAACGCAUGUGUGUGAGGGUGACUGUGAUUCGACCGCCCAUAUAAUUCCUCAAAAUGGCAGACAUUUGUGUUUGUUUGGCGCGCUUCCUGGCGCUGCCACUUCCGUUUCCGCCAGCCACGCAGCACGGAACAACAAAGUCGCAUGCAAUUAAAUAAAUAUGACAACAACAGACAGAUAGACAAAGCAGCGAACAGCGAGAUCACUAGAGAGUGUGUGUGUGUGUGUGGGAGGAGAACAACAGACGGUUGAAUGAAUAAAAUAAAUAAAUGUAUUUAUUGAAGUAUGUUUGAUUACACAAUUAACGUCAUAUAAUUCGUUGAAUGCGUUGCGAGUCCCCCGCAGCAACUGUGGCAAUAAUCAAACUUUUAAUCCUCUGAGGAAAAGCAUUUUAUUACAAUAAAAUGUUGCAGAGCUUUGCAAACUAAUCGCAUGUGGAACAAGCUUCACUCUUUGGCAAUUUUAUCUAUUGUGAAUAAUCAAUAGUAAACAAUUUUAUUUCCGAUAAGCUUGUGCCAAAUACCUUAUUCAUCUAUUUUUUUACUUAUCAGAUAGCAUAAUCCUCUUUACGGUAGAUACAAUCUCUGGCCAUGCAGUCACUUCGAAGUUUCGCCCCCUGUUUGGUAUUCAACGAAUUUGUUGCAGUCAUAACUUGUGCUCAACUGCUGCAAUACUAAGCUGCAUUCUGUGGCAUUUCGCAUACAUUGUGGCAAACAAAUACUCACACAUUCACAGACCACACCACGCAUACGUAUACGCAUACGCAUACACGCACAUGCAUAUAGAAAACGUUAUCAAUACGCUUCACAUUUGUUUUCAUUUUACGAUUGCGUAACGAGAUCAACGUCGACAAAUCCAAAAGCCACUAAAACCACAGCCCGCAAGGGAGAGAGAGAGAGAGAGAGAGAGUAAAAGCGAGAGCUCAGGCCAGAGCAGAAUCCGAAUCCAGACCCAAGAGCCAAUACCAAUAUGCCAAAUAGGGGCCGCGAGCGCCAAAUCAGCUGUGGCUCUUUCAAUGGCAAUGCCAUAGUCGAGUCGUAGGUGAAUGUAGCUGUAUGGGGUCGGGUGGGGUGUUGCAUCCUUAUCGACAGUAUUAUCUACGAAUGAACUAACAAAAAACUGUAAAGAAAGAAAAAAAAGCACAACACAACACAUGGCUGCAGCCGCGG
Long non-coding RNA from Drosophila sulfurigaster albostrigata, 4719 nucleotides. RefSeq lists it as uncharacterized. The record is from RefSeq and is a predicted model, not a curated record. The transcript is spliced from 2 exons. NCBI's taxonomy places the organism in Eukaryota, Metazoa, Arthropoda, Insecta, Diptera, Drosophilidae.